Molecule: ribosomal RNA, 485 nt
Filed under: marine sediment bacterium ISA-7332
Lineage: Bacteria
Description: bacterial SSU rRNA
Rfam family: Bacterial small subunit ribosomal RNA
Source: RNAcentral
UGCCUAAUACAUGCAAGUCGAGCGGACAGAAGGGAGCUUGCUCCCGGAUGUUAGCGGCGGACGGGUGAGUAACACGUGGGUAACCUGCCUGUAAGACUGGGAUAACUCCGGGAAACCGGAGCUAAUACCGGAUAGUUCCUUGAACCGCAUGGUUCAAGGAUGAAAGACGGUUUCGGCUGUCACUUACAGAUGGACCCGCGGCGCAUUAGCUAGUUGGUGGGGUAAUGGCUCACCAAGGCGACGAUGCGUAGCCGACCUGAGAGGGUGAUCGGCCACACUGGGACUGAGACACGGCCCAGACUCCUACGGGAGGCAGCAGUAGGGAAUCUUCCGCAAUGGACGAAAGUCUGACGGAGCAACGCCGCGUGAGUGAUGAAGGUUUUCGGAUCGUAAAGCUCUGUUGUUAGGGAAGAACAAGUGCGAGAGUAACUGCUCGCACCUUGACGGUACCUAACCAGAAAGCCACGGCUAACUACGUGCCAGCA